Molecule: transfer RNA, 76 nt
Filed under: Marmota monax (woodchuck)
Lineage: Eukaryota; Metazoa; Chordata; Mammalia; Rodentia; Sciuridae
Description: tRNA.Ala
Source: RNAcentral
AGGGUUGUAGCUCAGUGGUAGAGCACUUGUGUAGCUAGCAAGUGUGAAGCCCUGGGUCUGAUCCCCAGCACUGCAU